UACAGAGGUCUCAAGCGUUGUUCGGAAUCACUGGGCGUAAAGCGCACGUAGGCGGCUUCUUAAGUCAGGGGUGAAAUCCUGGAGCUCAACUCCAGAACUGCCUUUGAUACUGAGGAGCUUGAGUCCGGGAGAGGUGAGUGGAACUGCGAGUGUAGAGGUGAAAUUCGUAGAUAUUCGCAAGAACACCAGUGGCGAAGGCGGCUCACUGGCCCGGUACUGACGCUGAGGUGCGAAAGCGUGGGGAGCAAACAGG
Molecule: ribosomal RNA, 253 nt
Filed under: uncultured bacterium
Lineage: Bacteria
Description: partial 16S ribosomal RNA
Rfam family: Bacterial small subunit ribosomal RNA
Source: RNAcentral